Molecule: long non-coding RNA, 7565 nt
Filed under: Podarcis lilfordi (Lilford's wall lizard)
Lineage: Eukaryota; Metazoa; Chordata; Lepidosauria; Squamata; Lacertidae
Source: RNAcentral
CCCAAAUGGAAAAUUGCUGUUUGAUAAACAAAUUAUCUCCUCGUAGGCUAAAUCUCCUCUGAAUUGCUGUGAUUCCUGCAUUGCAGGGAGUUGGGCUGGAUAACCCUUCAUGUCCCCUCCUGAUUCCGGAGUUCCACGAGUCAAUGCUUCGAUUCCUUACAGAUGCACGUAGCCCUCUUCACCGUAUUACUGUUGGACGGAAGGUUUAAUCACUGCCUUCUCCAAGACUGUGCAACCCGUGUGUGUGUUUUUUCAAUUAUGGUCAUUUUAUCGCCCCUGUACCAGGUAUGUUAUUUUCAGCGGGGAUUGAUCUGGAGAUACGAACAAGCCCACAAAAUGAGUUUCCUUGAUUUAUUCAAGGGCCAUCCGUUCCAUCGCGAGUAGCUUAUUAAAGAGCCCUGCACAGCCUGUAUCUCUGUAGUAUAUUAUGAGUGAUUUAUGAAGGUGCUUUAACUUGUCGACAGCCACUUCCAAAGUGGUCCUUUCUCUACACACACACACACACACACACACACACACACAGGCUGCAAAUUUCUUUUAAAUGGCUACACUUAGCCCCUAGCUAUUACACUUUGGGGGCAGUUAAGCACCCCUGAAUUGAAUAGGAAGUGAGAUAGGAGCAGCUGAGAUUGCUGCUCUUCAGGCUGUCCCUGGUGAAUGACUGCCUAGCCUCAGGGCCCAAGACCUCUGCUCACGGCCAAGCCAGGCUAAUGACCUGCAGCCAAACAUUUGAAUUUCACUGGCUGACUUGGCUCUGGUCUUGGUGUCUUUGCCCCCUGCCCCCCCCCCCCGCUUCCAUCUUACCCCUAGACUAUGAGGCCAUCUGUCCCCCUGCAAACACACACACACACACACACACACACACACCCCCCCCAGUGGUUGAAUGGUCAUCUGUCAGGGAUUCUUGAAGUAUGAUUCCUGCAUUGCAGGGGGUUGGACUAGAUGACUCUUGGGGUCUCUUCCAACUCUGCAGUUCUAUAAUUCUAUGCUUCAUUGCAAGAUUUUAAGCAGAGGUCAGAUGGUCAUCUGUCAGGGAUCAUUUUCCUGUGAUUCCUGCAUUACAGAGAGUUGGACCAGAUGACCCUCAGGUUUCCCCUUCAACUCUACAGUUUGAUUGUUCCGUUUCACAGCACUGCAUUCCACGAUCUAAUGAAUUUGUCCUGAAAUGCCCUGUAAAUAGCAUCUAUUGAUAGCCGUUCCCUGGGCAAAUGUCAUGCCCAUCUAGACGUUUAUCAGCUUAGGAGGGACCAUCUAAUUAACUCACUGGCACAUGCUAAUUGUAGAUAAUCAACUUAUAUUUACCUGGGCCUGCCAUGUGAUUUAAGUUGAUCCAGAGUGCAAAGGCGGGAAGCAUUUUAGGAAACUUUUUGCUAGGGGGAGACAGGGGGGAAAUCAUAACAUUUUCUAGAGAAAUGGUGAUUUGCAACUCUCCAUCCCAGAAUAGGUGGAUCUGCCAAGGGUUCUUAUUCCUCCAAUCCUAAAAAAUCAGUUUUCCAUAUUUCUACAUCACCUUGCCAUUUCAUUAGAAUGGAUUUCACCUAUUGUAAUAGCCUUCAGAUAUAAUAACAAGGUAAAGAUGUCACUCCUUAGUCCCCAUUGGAGGAGUUAUUUAUUUAAUUUGUUUAUAAAACAUAUUUAUACAUACUUCUAAAUCAUAAGAAUAAAUGAAAGCAGUUUACAACAUCAAAAAGAUAAAACCAUAAAAUAAAAGCAUAAAAAGUUAAAAGCAAUUUAAAAGCAAAACGGUUAAAAACAAGCAACAGCAAACCAUUGUGGAAGGACAUCUUCUUAAUUGCCGGCGUAGACCUUGGCAGAAUAGAAAAGUUUUCAGCAGGAUGAAACAGAAGGCGUUGUCAAAUGAGUCUUCCCAAUUCAAAGAAUGACCAAUGACAUUCUUGUGGAUGAUCUCAGUGAUUAAGCUGGAAUAGAAGGGUUCAGGUUAUCCCCUCUCAGCCAUGAAGCUCACUGGCCAAUCAGAAAAGGCCAAUCGGUGCCUCUCAGCCUAACCUACCUCAAAGGGUUCCUAUUUUAGGGAUUAAACAAGGCACUGAUCUGGGGUGGGGGUGGGGAGUAGGGAGUUGGGAUAUAAAUGCAGUGCAGGGCAGGGCAAUAAAAUAAAUAAAAUAAAAGAAGGAAUCCUUUCCCCAGCUCCAGGCAUUGAUCAGAGUGGGGCUGGCCUUUUGCAUGUGUUUCAAAUGAAACUCUCCACUUUAGGGGAGCUUGCUGAUCGCCUAGAUGCAAUUGGCAAUUAAAUACACAUUUUUAGGUUUGUUGUGGGGUGUGUGUUUGGGGGGGGUAAGCUUUCUGAUUUUUCUGCUAACAUCUUGUGUUCCUUUUUCACAUUGCUGAAUAAUAUUCAUUCUUGGCUGUGUGUGCUUCUGAACUUCUUUUCCUGCAGGGCAGGGGAUUGGACUUGGUCACCCUUUGUGUCCCUUCCAGCUCUACAAUUCAGUGAGUCUAUGAAUGGAGCCAUUGCGCAGUGUUCGUAGUGUUUCAUCUUAUGCAAACUAUGCAUCUUAUGCAAACUUUUGAAAGACUGGCUGGAGGGAGGCUCUAUUCAUGUGUCUUACACACACACACCACAAAUCUGCCCUUUUAUUCAUUUUUGUGAGAUAGGGGGAGGAGAAGAAACCCUGAUGGUAAAUCCAUUUUUGCAAAGCUGCUGCCUACACAGGAAAUGACCUCUUAAUGCCGUGCACCUGUUUUGCUCAGAGUAAUAUCCUGGGAGAGACUUGACUGCAUAGAGACAGCAGCCAGAUCUGCAGUUGCCAGUCAGCCUCAACAGCACUUUCAGGUUUCCUCAAACCUUUCCCCGCCCCCGCCCCCAUCUUUUUGAAAGUCACAUAGACUCUGCUCAAGCUUAACUGAAGUUAGUUUAAUUCUAGCCCAUUUAUUACCCCUUUUAGAUGAGACUAGGUAGAUGAGACUAGCUAUCUAUUUCCCUGCCUACCUAUCUAGCUAUCAUCUACCUUACAUUGUUUAACUCUGUACUGCCUGAAGAACAUUCAGUGAAGCUGGGCAUCCAAUGAAGCUGAGUAUUUUAAAGAAAGUCCUUCUUCAUGCAGCACAGAUAUGAACUGUGGAACUCCCUCCCACAGGAGGCCGUGAUGGCCACCAACUAGGGUGGCUUUAAAAGAGGAUUGGACUAUUGAUGACUACCAUCCACGAUGUCUGUGCUCUUCCUCUACAGUUGGAGGCAGUGCCAGCAAUGCUUCUGGAUGCCAGUUGCUGGAGGGGGAAAUGUUGUUGAUGUGCUUGAAUCCUGCUUGCUGGUUUCCCACAGGCAUCUGGGUGGUCACUGUGAGAACAGGAUGCUGUGCUAGAUGGGCCAUUUGCUUGAUCCAGCAGCCUCUUCUAAUGCACUGAUGUUCUUAAGACAUACUUCCUUUUAUCUGUCUUGAUAAAAGGUUUCUCAAGUUGCACAUAACCACAGAAGGACCCCUCCUCCUCCUCCUCCUCCUCCUCCUCCUCCUCUUCUCCUUGGCUCUGAGCAAAUUUCCCCUGGAUCUUGCACUACUAUGAAACUUGAUCUGGUGCACCACUAAUUCAAAGGCUGUCUGUUUGAGAUAUUCUCUGACAAACAGUUUCAGUGAGCCAGCAAUAUUGUGCUAGUACAUCAAAAAUGCAAACAUUUAGGUUUAAGCCUGCGUUGAAUGGAUUUGAGAAUGAGUUAUGAGAGGCGUUAGGAGAGUUAUUGGCUUGGCAAUCUCCCCCUCCCCCUGCCUGCUUGGAACCUGCUUUUCAAAAUUAAAUACGAUCCCGGGUGAUCCAUCCAAAAUGUCAAUUACCCUAAAUCUCUUAGGUUUGCAAUUACAAAUUGCAGGCCGUGUUUGGGAUUUUCUGAAGCUGCUUUUUUUUUAAGGGGGUGGGAGCAAGAGCUGUCUCUCCUCUGAUUGCAAAAAAACCCAAAAACCCACACCAAAAAAAACAACAACCCCUUUCAAAUUGUAGUGUCAAACAGAGGUAAAGUCAUCCAGAAUGGGCUUCUUGGCCAAGUCCUGGCUGGAAGUGAUUACAGGGCUGGAAACCAAGCAGAGCUUAGCAGGAUGCCGGAGAUGGGUUCUGAUUAUGAGAAAGGAGCUUCCAACUAAACCUUAGGAACAGUGGCAUGCAGUCAGUGGACUAGGGGGACUAGAUUAGUCCCCUAAAUGUUCCUGCUAAAUUAGAGUAUUAAAGCCUGGCACCUCCUUCCCAAAGCCCUGGAAGCAUCUGCCCAGCUUAGGGAGGGAGGCACAAUGUUGCUCCCCCCCCAUCACCCUCACAAGCUGGUGCCUCUGACCCUAACUUGUUCCCCUAUGAAAAGUUUCACUGCAUGCCACUGCUUAGGAAGGAAUUUCUGGUGGUAAGAGUUGCUUGAUAGUUAGACAUACUCCCUGUGAAACUGGUGGAUUUUCCUUGUUUGGAUGUCUUUGAACACAGGUCGAAUGUACACCUGCCAGGAAUACUUUAGUCAUGAUUCCUGCAUUACAGGAGGUUGGACUACAUAACCCUUAGUGACCUUUCCAACUCUACAGUUCUAUGAUUCAUAGGAGGUUUUCAAACAGAGGUUGAUGGCCGUCUAUUCUGCGAUGCCUGCCCUGUGGGGAGUUGGACUAGAUUAUCCUUGAGUGUUCCUUCCAUCUGUACAGUUCUAUGAUUCUUUGUCCUGUGUGCCAUCCUGCAGAGCAGAGAAGGCACCUUGCAAGUUUCAUAGUCUAUGGGGAGUGCACAGUUGUUCUCCCGUCUCCCUCUGAACUGCAUCUCCUCUCCGGCGGCUCAGCUUGUCUGCUCUGCAGAUAACUGACAUCGACCUCAGCUCACGCUGACUCUCACGUUACACUAAGCACAUCAAAGAUGAGAUAAUGGCUGGGGAUGUGUCUGUGAAACCCUCUUAGAAAAUAUGAGUUGUGGAAUGUCCAAAUAGUCUCUGCUUUCUCUCUCUGACUCUUCCUACACUUCACUUUUGCACUCAAAAGGAGAGGGAGGAGGGAGGAGGAGGAAGGGCAGAAGAGGAGGAAAGCUACCUUUGGGGCAACAGCAGAUGAUUGAUAAGUACCGGUAUAUCCCCUGAGUGUAGCUGGGAGGCACAGCUGAAUCUUAGAAUCAUAGAGAGUUGGGAGGGAUCCCCAUCUAGUCCAGUCCCCUGCAAUGCAAGAAUCAAGGCUAAAUAAUCCCAGACAGGUGACCAUCUGACCUCUGCCUAAAAACCUCCACGGAAAGAGAUUUCACCACCUCCUGAGAGAGUCCAUGUCACUGUCAAACAGCUCUUAGAGUCAGAAAGUUCUUCCUAAGCUUUAGUCGGCAUUGCCUUUCUUGUCAUUUAAAUCCACUGGUUCGGAUCCUACAGCAGCAAAAAGGAAGCUUGCUCCAUUUUACUUGUGACAGCCUUUAGAUGUUUGAAGUUGACUAUUACCACCUCUCAGUGUCCUCUUCUCCAGACUAAACAUGCCCAGUUCCCUAAAUCGUUCCUCACAAGGCUCAGUUUCUAGCGCCCUUCGUAAUCUUGAUCACCUUCCUCUGCACACCUUCCAGCUUGUCAAUAUCCUUCUUAAGCUGGGAUCCCCAUAACUGGAUACAAGGCUCCAGCUGUGGUAUGACCAAGGGUUCACAAUUCAAUGCAUGCCCUAUAAUACUAUUGGUAAAUGCCUGAAACUCAGCAUCCAGAGAAUGAUUGCCCACUUUGAUAAAAAUCAAAAAUGGCAGGUACCAGUGGACUCUCACAGAGGUGUUCAGACAGGGAGGUGGGUGGGUGGCCAGCUGAUGGGCAUUCGUGGGCUCAGGGUGAUCUAUUGGUAGUGACCUGCCAAGCAGUGAGACCUGCAUUGGCUCAGUGUUAUAAACUAAUACCUGACUGGGCCAGGGAGGUGAUUGCAAGAGGCGGUGGUCCCUGCCUGCUUGAAGGAGGCCAUGGUAAAACCACUCCUCCAGAAACCCUCACUGGAUUAGAAAAAUCUAAGUAAUUACCAGCCAGUUGCCAAUCACCUCUUCUUGGGAAAAGUAUCUGAGUGGUGGGUUGCAGACCAGAUCCAGGUGCUCUUGGAGGAAACUGAUUUUCUAGAUCCAUUUCAGUUGUGGUUUAGGCCUGAUUUUGGCACAGAAACCACUCUGGUCACCCUGUAUAAUGACUUCUGUCAGGAUAGAGACAGGGGAAAUGUGUCCUUAUUAAUUCUCCUUGACCUCUCAGCAGCUUUCGACACCAUCGACCAUGGUAUCCUUCUGGAGCUGCUGUAUGAGUUAGGGGUGGGUGGCACCACUUUGUGGUAGUUCUGGUCCUACUUGGAUGGUAAUUUCCAGAGGCUUGAGGAGUGUUCUGCAGCCCUGUGGAGGCUUCAAUGUGGGGUUCCUCAGGCUUCGAUUUUAUCCCUUAUUCUGUUUAACAUCUACAUAAAUCCACUGAGUGGGAGGUUAAGGGGUGAUAUGAUAGCCAUGUUCAAAUAUAUAAAAGGAUGUCAUAUAGAGGAGGGAGAAAGGUUGUUUUCUGCUGCUCCAGAGAAGCGGACACGGAGCAAUGGAUCCAAACUACAAGAAAGAAGAUUCCACCUAAACAUUAGGAAGAACUUCCUGACAGUAAGAGCUGUUCGACAGUGGAAUUUGCUGCCAAGGAGUGUGGUGGAGUCUCCUUCUUUGGAGGUCUUUAAGCAGAGGCUUGACAACCAUAUGUCAGGAGUGCUCUGAUGGUGUUUCCUGCUUGGCAGGGGGUUGGACUCGAUGGCCCUUGUGGUCUCUUCCAACUCUAUGAUUCUAUGAUUCUAUGAUUAUCUGACAGUUUGAAGUAUGUUGCCAGCAAUAUGCUGAUGACACACAGAUCUAUUUCUCCUUUACAUCUGCAGGUGUAGCAGCUGAUGUGCUGGACCACAUUCUUGCCUUGGUAAUGGACACGAUGAGAGCCAACAAACUGAACCUUAAUCCAGAUAAUACAGAGGCACUGUUAGGGGGUGUUUCCCUAGAAUGGAUGGGUGGGAGGUUGCCUCCUCUUGGUGGGGUUACACUCCCUCUGAAGGAGCAGGUACACUGUUUGGGGGUACUUCUGAAACCAUUACUGUCACUUGAGGCUCAGGUGGCCUCAGUGGCCUAGAGUGCCUUCCAUCAGCUUCUGCUGGUGGCCCAUCUGUGCCCCUAUCUGGACAGGGAUAGCCUAACUUCUGUUGUCUAUGCUCUGGUAAUGGUUAUAUUACUGCAACACAUUAUACAAGACAGUUUGAGCAUAUAACACCAAUUCUGGCCCAACUGCAUUGGCUGCCAAUUAGUUUCUGGGCCCAAUUUAAAGUACCUCCUUUUGAAACAACCUGGACCCUGUGAUCAUCAUCUGAGACCAUUUUUUGUGUGCUUUCUCCACAAAAGGCCUGGAAGGUGGCAACACAAGAAAAGGCCUUUUCUGCAAGUGGUUCCCCAUUUCUGGAAUGCUCUCCCCAGAGAAGCUCACCUGGUGCCUUUGUUACACCUCUUUAGAUGCCAAGUGAAAACAUUCCUCUCCCCCCAGGCCUUUGGCUAAUUAAACAAUCUGUGUCAUUUUAAACUGUAGGGAGGUGUUGCUUUUUGUUUGUUAUUAUGCUAUAUCUUUUUGUGCUUUUAUUUUGUAAACCGCC